CAGCCACAUCGUCAGCCCAGACCAAAGGUCAACUAAAACUUCACUUCAGACGCUCCAUUUUGUUUAGCCUGUUUGGAAGACUGUCUUUCAAAGAGACGAAGGAAAGAGGGAACUUGUUUUAUCGGCUCUUCUCAUUCUGUCGCCAAUUGUGAUAUCCGGUGUAACCAGUCCCUCCAUUCAAAAGACGCGCGGUGAAGAGAGUCUGAGGGGAUUCUGUGGGAAUCAGAAGACGGACACAAAGCAGGUGGGUGAAAUAUGUCGGUUAAAAAAGAAACAUAAGUUAUUGUUAGAGACGUUUGUAGUGAGUGUUGUAUAUGGGUAAGAAUCAAACUGACGCAGAUUGGUACA
Molecule: long non-coding RNA, 348 nt
Organism: Clupea harengus (Atlantic herring)
Lineage: Eukaryota; Metazoa; Chordata; Actinopteri; Clupeiformes; Clupeidae
Source: Ensembl